GUAGCGAAAGCGAGUCUGAAUAGGGCGCAUAAGUAACAGGUCGUAGACCCGAAACCAGGUGAUCUACCCAUGUCCAGGAUGAAGGUAAGGUAAUACUUACUGGAGGUCCGAACCCACGCACGUUGAAAAGUGCGGGGAUGAGGUGUGGGUAGCGGAGAAAUUCCAAUCGAACUUGGAGAUAGCUGGUUCUCUCCGAAAUAGCUUUAGGGCUAGCCUCGAGGUAAAGAGUCAUGGAGGUAGAGCACUGUUUGGACUAGGGGCCCUUCUCGGGUUACCGAAUUCAGAUAAACUCCGAAUGCCAUGUACUUAUACUCGGGAGUCAGACUGCGAGUGAUAAGAUCCGUAGUCGAAAGGGAAACAGCCCAGACCACCAGUUAAGGUCCCCAAAUAUAUGUUAAGUGGAAAAGGAUGUGGGGUUGCUUAGACAACCAGGAUGUUGGCUUAGAAGCAGCCACCAUUGAAAGAGUGCGUAAUAGCUCACUGGUCGAGUGACCCCGCGCCGAAAAUGUACCGGGGCUAAACAUAUUACCGAAACUGUGGAUGAACCUCUUUAGAGGUUCGUGGUAGGAGAGCGUUCUAAGGGCGGUGAAGUCAGACCGGAAGGACUGGUGGAGCGCUUAGAAGUGAGAAUGCCGGUAUGAGUAGCGAAAGAAGGGUGAGAAUCCCUUCCACCGAAUAUCUAAGGUUUCCUGAGGAAGGCUCGUCCGCUCAGGGUUAGUCGGGACCUAAGCCGAGGCCGAUAGGCGUAGGCGAUGGACAACAGGUAGAGAUUCCUGUACCAGUGCUAAUUGUUUAACCGAUGGGGUGACACAGAAGGAUAGGGAAUCGCACGAAUGGAAAUGUGCGUCCAAGCAGUGAGUGUGAGAAGUAGGCAAAUCCG
This 880-nucleotide ribosomal RNA is filed under the name Listeria monocytogenes. RNAcentral describes it as "partial 23S ribosomal RNA". It matches the Rfam family "Bacterial large subunit ribosomal RNA", at positions 668 to 1544 of the family's 2925-position model. The record is from RNAcentral. Lineage: Bacteria; Bacillati; Bacillota; Bacilli; Caryophanales; Listeriaceae.